RNA transcript from Musa acuminata AAA Group (dessert banana), 1666 nucleotides. It is a transcript of the gene named alcohol dehydrogenase-like 6, with no coding region annotated. The record is from RefSeq and is a predicted model, not a curated record. NCBI's taxonomy places the organism in Eukaryota, Viridiplantae, Streptophyta, Magnoliopsida, Zingiberales, Musaceae. The transcript has 10 exons.
CUCACCGUCCCCGCAACGAGCUUUGGGACGCUCUUUAAACGAUCCACCUUUGACUUCAUCAGGACAAGCCUUUGGGUUCGGUGAGAUCUCUCCAAGCUGCGAGAAUGUCCUCUUCGAUCAAAUCUGCUGGCGUCAUCACGUGCAAAGCUGCGGUGGCAUGGGGACCAGAGCAACCACUGGUGCUGGAGGAGGUGGAGGUCGACCCGCCGAAGGCGUCGGAGAUCCGCGUGAAGGUGGCCUGCACUUCCCUCUGCCGCAGCGACCUCACCCAGUGGCAAUCUCAGGCGCAGCCCGAUCUUUUCCCUCGCAUCUUCGGCCACGAGGCUUCCGGGAUUGUGGAGAGUGUAGGAGAGGGCGUGACGGAGUUCAAGGAGGGGGAUCAUGUGCUCACGGUGUUCAUCGGAGAAUGCCAGAGCUGCAAACACUGCACGUCUGGGAAGAGUAACAUGUGCCAGAAGCUGGGGUUAGAGAGGAGGGGCGUCAUGCACAGCGACCAGAAGACUCGGUUCCGGGUGAACGGGAGGCCUAUUUACCAUUACUGCGCCGUGUCGAGCUUCAGCGAGUACACGGUGGUGCACUCUGGUUGUGCCGUCAAGAUUAGCCCCAGCGUGAGGAUGGAUAGGGCAUGCCUUCUUAGUUGCGGCGUGGCUGCAGGCAUCGGAGCUGCUUGGAAUGUUGCUGAUAUAUCAAAAGGUUCAACUGUAGUAAUUUUUGGUCUUGGCACUGUUGGCCUUUCAGUAGCACAAGCUGCCAAAUCAAGAGGGGCUUCUCGGAUAAUCGGAGUGGACAUAAAUCCAGAAAAAUAUGAAAAAGGAAAGGCUUUUGGUGUAACCGAAUAUAUCAAUCCGGAUGAGUGCAAAGAGCCUAUUCAGCAGGUUAUUAAACAGAUCACUGAUGGAGGGGCAGAUUAUUCUUUUGAAUGUGUUGGCGACACUAGUAUAGUAUCAACAGCCUUACAAUCAUGCUGUGAUGGUUGGGGAAUGACUGUGACUCUAGGUGUACCAAAAACCAACCCUGUGGUUUCAACUCAUUAUGCUUUUCUUCUCAUGGGAAGAACUUUGAAGGGUUCUUUAUUUGGAGGAUGGAAACCAAAGUCUGAGCUUCCAUCGUUAGUCGACAAAUAUAUGAAAGGCGUAAGUUUCUGAUAUCAUUUAAGGAAAAGUUUCAGGAGCAAGGUUAUCUUACUAGUUGGUAAUGUGUUUCUUUUACCAAGGAAAUCCAAUUGGACGAAUUUGUUACACAUGAUAUAAUGUUUGCAAAUAUUAAUGAGGCAUUCAGCCUGAUGAGAGAAGGGAAAUGCUUGCGUUGUGUGAUUCACAUGCCAAAGUAAUUGUCGGUAUGAUAGUAUGCAGGUAUGUCUCAAUCCUUUAGGUAUCCAUUUGUUUUAAUUUUCCAAUAACUCCAAGUCAUCGAUCUGUGUGAUUCAUAUGCUGAUGAACUAGUCAUCUUGUUGUUCAUCAUAUUUCUCUUUUCUACUUGAAGUUGUUCUUGUCUGGUAAAAAGUAUCUCUUGUUGCAACAUUAUUCAAUGAUUCCCCUUCAAAUUAUCCUCAUAACCUGAUUCUGCCUCCUGGUUUUGUCAUUUGUAAAUUAAGCUGGUAAUGCCUAUCUCCAAUCUGGAAUGGGAAAUAAUUGCCGUCUUUCACAGUGGAUUUAGUUCUGGUAAA